UGGCCUUGACAUAAUAAGAAUCUUUUAGAGAUAGAAGAAUGCUAGUUUACUAGAGCUUAUAUACAGGUGCUGCACGGCUGUCGUCAGCUCGUGUCGUGAGAUGUUGGGUUAAGUCCCGCAACGAGCGCAACCCACGCCAAUAGUUAAUAACAGUUCGGCUGAUGACUCUAUUGGGACUGCCUUCGUAAGGAGGAGGAAGGUGUGGACGACGUCAAGUCAUCAUGGCCCUUACGGCCAGGGCUACACACGUGCUACAAUGGGGGUAUACAAAGAGCCGCAAUACCGCGAGGUGGAGCAAAUCUUAAAAAUAUCUCCCAGUUCGGAUAGCAGUCUGCAACUCGACUGCUUGAAGUUGGAAUCGCUAGUAAUCGUGAAUCAGCAAUGUCACGGUGAAUACGUUCCCGGGUCU
RNAcentral lists this ribosomal RNA (409 nucleotides) under uncultured bacterium. RNAcentral describes it as "bacterial SSU rRNA". It matches the Rfam family "Bacterial small subunit ribosomal RNA", at positions 976 to 1381 of the family's 1533-position model. The record is from RNAcentral.